This 514-nucleotide ribosomal RNA is filed under the name uncultured Peptococcaceae bacterium. RNAcentral describes it as "bacterial SSU rRNA". It matches the Rfam family "Bacterial small subunit ribosomal RNA", at positions 36 to 514 of the family's 1533-position model. Lineage: Bacteria; Bacillati; Bacillota; Clostridia; Eubacteriales; Peptococcaceae. The record is from RNAcentral.
CUGGCGGCGUGCUUAACACAUGCAAGUCGAACGAAAAGAGGGAAAGAGCUUGCUCUUUCCGGAAUUGAGUGGCAAACGGGUGAGUAACACGUAAACGACCUGCCUUCAGGAUGGGGACAACAGACGGAAACGACUGCUAAUACCGAAUAAGUUCCAAGAGCCGCAUGGCCCAUGGAAGAAAAGGUGGCCUCUACCUGUAAGCUAUCGCCUGAAGAGGGGUUUGCGUCUGAUUAGCUGGUUGGAGGGGUAACGGCCCACCAAGGCGACGAUCAGUAGCCGGUCUGAGAGGAUGAACGGCCACACUGGAACUGAGACACGGUCCAGACUCCUACGGGAGGCAGCAGUGGGGAAUCUUCCGCAAUGGGCGAAAGCCUGACGGAGCAACGCCGCGUGAGUGAUGACGGCCUUCGGGUUGUAAAACUCUGUGAUCCGGGACGAAAAGGCAGAGUUGCGAAGAACAAACUGCAUUGACGGUACCCGGAAAAGCAAGCCACAGCUAACUACGUGCCAGCAG